CAUAACAUAGGUCAAUGAAAUUGGAGAAAACCUAGGAGGCCAUGGUUCAAAACUUCAAAUUCCAGCAAAGACUAUGCUAUAGGUGAUUUCUUUACCAAGUCACGUGCGGUGCAUAUGCGAGCGACAAAGCGCGGGUAUACUAAAAAGAAACAAAGAAGCAGAGAAGCCAAAGGCAGAUCUACAGCUACAAAAUAAAUUCUUUGAUCUGCGGUUUUGUUUGGGAAUAAGAAUAAUGGGAAAGGUGGAAUCAAACGAAGACGCCUCAAAUCAGAAGAAGAGGGUGAAGAGAAACCAUGGAUCCACUAAAUUCUUUGUGUUUUUAGAUUAUGUAUUCCUCUUUGUAUUCUUUUGUUUCCUCUGCUACAUUCUCUUCAAAAUGGUCGGGAUUUGAUCUAUCCAGGUUUAAUGAUAAGCUAUAUCCAGAUCAAUAGAGUCCAAGUUCUUAUGAAAUGCAAAACUGCUGGUUUAUUCCAGUUUAGAGAUUCUUUCCUUCUUAUUUUGGACACUGAGAUAUGGAGAGGAAUGAAGUUGUUGCACUGGUGUUCUGUGUCAAAUUCACCUAUGCCACGCGAGUUACUUGUUUAAUAUACUUAAAAUAUAUGACAUUGAGUAGCUUUCUUGGUGUGCCUGAUCACACAAUUUACAUGUUGAUAUGGCGCUGAAAAUAUUCGGAUGCUCAAUUGAUAACUUCUAGGAUCUCCUUCACUAUUCCGAAAUUAUUUUUAUUCUUUUUAACUUGGGCACAAGCGAAAUAUACCAUAUUGAUGGGGACUCGAAAUCAUCAUUUCAGUUUGA
Nicotiana tabacum (common tobacco) is the source of this 795-nucleotide long non-coding RNA. RefSeq lists it as uncharacterized. The record is from RefSeq and is a predicted model, not a curated record. NCBI's taxonomy places the organism in Eukaryota, Viridiplantae, Streptophyta, Magnoliopsida, Solanales, Solanaceae.